Molecule: transfer RNA, 67 nt
Filed under: Foenatopus ruficollis
Lineage: Eukaryota; Metazoa; Arthropoda; Insecta; Hymenoptera; Stephanidae
Description: tRNA-Asp
Source: RNAcentral
UAAAAAUUAGUUAAAAAAUAACAAUAUUUUGUCAAAAUAUAAUUAUUAAUUAAAUUAAUAUUUUUAA